AUUAUAAAUACGUCCUACCAUCUAGUUCUACUAUCUAAUCUUGUUCGGUAAAAUUAAUU
This 59-nucleotide small RNA is filed under the name Arabidopsis thaliana (thale cress). RNAcentral describes it as "ATSL279590". Lineage: Eukaryota; Viridiplantae; Streptophyta; Magnoliopsida; Brassicales; Brassicaceae. The record is from RNAcentral.